GGAGACCUCGGGGUGGUGCACCCCUACCCCACCCUUGCCUCUCCUCAAAUGUUCUGGAAGAGCAAAUCUAUGGAUCAGUAGGGAAACUGAGGCCAGGAGAGGCAACAGGGUGCUGGAUUCGCAUCCAAGUAAUGGGUGCAGAGGGUUAAGGGCUGGGCCGGAAUUUUCGCGCCGCGAGAAAAGUGGUUUUUCUUUCUGCUCUAAACUUAGCCCGGAACGGCGGGGUCAGACCGUGGUUCCAUGACGCGGGCGGCGCGGAGUGAGGUGGCCUGGACUGUGGGAAUCGCGCGUCUGUCCAUCGGUUAGAUAGGUAAACUGAGGCAAGUGACCCUCGGAGGAACCCACCCUCCUCUAGUCUCACUUUCUGGGAAUGGUGGCUCUCCCUCAACGCCUUUGAGCUCUCUCCGGAACCCUCCGCAGGGACCCGUCUUCGCAGGCAUCUAUCUGGUGCCCUGGGGGCGCUCUCCGGGACCUGGGACACCCCUCCAACCCCUCCGGGACUGAAAUGGCGCCAUCAAGGACCACGGUCACGACUCCCUCGGCCCUGCCGGCUGUCGCUGGCCCUGUGACCUUGGUGAAGGGACUUCCAGUCCCUGAGCUGCCAGGUGCCAAAUUAUCAAGUGAGUACUAACGCGGCACGAAUCCAGCGCAAGGUGCCAGACGCGGUCGGCGCCCACAAGCCUCGCCCCUGAGCCCCACGGGGUCACAGCUUCCUGAAAGGGUCGGGAUUCGAACCCUGAACAGUGGAUCAAAUCUUUGCAGGACGCGUGCGGGGCUGCGACGAGCCGGCGCUCGGCGAGCGCAGGUCCGCGUUCAGGGUGGGACACACAAGUCGCCCUCCUACGCAGCGAACGCCCAGCUUCGAAGGCCCCAGUCAAAUCAGGUCUUCGUCUGUAGACCCCGAAGGCUUACUGUGAGGACCCCCGGGACACCUAGCUGCUGGCUCCGGGACUGACCCGGGAGCCAGCCCAAGGGGAGGAGUCGUUUCCUCCUCCCUCGCCGCCUGGGCGUUCAGCCCGCCCGCCCCGGCCGACGAGGGUCAGGAGGAGACGUGAGCCUCAGCCCGUCCCGCUCUGGGCCAAACAGCUGGAAAGGGACAGACGCUGGUCCCCAGGGCAAAUGUACAGGCAGCGGGUGGAGGGAGACAGAGACGAAGAAAGACAGAGUCUCCAAGCACGCGAGACAGAGAGAGGGCAGAGCGAGAGAGAGACCGAGAAAGAGAGGGAGGGACAGAGCAUCCCUACCCCGAUUCCCCACCCGGCUCCAGCUGUCCCUGCCUCUGCCCUUCCCACCUCCGGCCCGGAGGUUCUGGUGACCCCCGCCAGGCCCUCCUUGUCGCCUCACCACAGCGGAUGGGCCACAGUGAAGCGCCGCUGCAGGCGGAUGCUCUGGUUUACCAGGAACUUCCUGAAGAGCCCGGGGGAGCCGCGAGGGGAGCCCCGGGGGGAGCCGGGCCCAGGGGCCGCGGCGGGCGCGGGGGGUCCCUGCAUCGCCGAGACCGCGUGGACGCUGCACCCAGCACGGGCUGAGCGGGACCUUUUCUGGACAGCCGAGGGGGCGGGGCCCGGCGGGGAGGGGGCAGAGGGCGCACCGGCCCCGCCUCGCCGCUGGACCUCUCCUUGAUGCCCCCCUCCGGGACAAAUGGGGAAACUGAGGCACUGUGCUGGACGCAACUCUCUGCUCCCUCCAUUUGGGGGGUGGCCCCGUGGGUCCCAGAGCCCGGAUCUUACGCCACUUCCCUCUGCCAAAAGGUCCCCAAUUAGGGCAGCUUUGGGGGUUGAUAACUUGGCUGAAAGGAGUGAAAUGCGGAAGUCGGAAAGGGAAGCGUCCUCCGUUCUGAGAGGGUUACAGAGGUACGGAGUUUACCGAGGGGCUGCCCAUUUCCUACACCUCUCUGCCCAUUUUCCAUACGGAGAAAAGGAGGCCUGAAGCUGCUCAGGGCUGUCCAGAAACCACAAACCCUUAACCCUUUUGCCAGGUGGAGAAAUUGAGGCUUGGAGGGAGGUGGUAAGAGGCACAAGGCUUUGCCUCAGGGCAGAGGGGUUCAAACCCAGCUCCCCCUCUCUGGGUCCCCCUCCACUAGGCCCCGCAUGACCCCCACCCACUCUGACAUUCCCCAGGCCCCAUCUCUGGAUCCUUUCCGCUCUCUUGCUGUUUCUACUGCACAAACAUCCGCACUCCACUCCGGCCAGGUCUCCUGCCUGUGAAGCAUCAGCUGCCUCUCCUCUGCCCCAGGAGGGGCCCCAGGGGGCCUGGAAAGGGAGCUUUUUGGAUGGAGAACCUGAAGGCUGGUCGGCUUGACUGCGGGAGGCCCCACACCCAGUCAGCUAAGGGGCUGAGGCUGAAGGAGGGCUGGACGUGAGGACUCCCACCUUGACUUUGCCCCUGGGUGCUGCGUGACCUGAGGAAGUGCCCAGCACUCUAGUGCCCUUCGCCUAUCACUGGAAUUCCCCCCAUUUGAGCAUUCUUUCCCUGGGCAGACACUUUUCUCCUCUGCCACCAGGUGGCCCCAGUGACAUGGGUGCUGUUAUACCCAUUUUACAGUAAACUGAGGUCUGGAGAGGAGCCAUGACUUGCCCAAGUCCCCAUAGACAAACGGAGAAGAGUAGGGUCUGAGUCCAGUGUCUAGAUGCUCACAUGGUCGAAUCUCACCCUCCUCUGCUCCAGACCCUCCCCAUGGCUCCCUAUUACCCUUCUAUCUCAAUCCACACCUCUUUGAAAGCCUUGUCUGGUUUGAACCUUUUGAGGUCUGAGCCUCCCUAUCUCCCCUAUCCCCCCACCUUCCUCUUGGCUCACUCUGGUCCAGUCUCAUCCCCCUCCUUAUUUUUCCUCAAAUCAGCCAGGUUCAUUCCCACCCCAUGCCUUUGCCCAAAUGCUUUCCUCCUGCUGACUCUCUGUAUUUCAGGUCAUAGCUGGAGCAUGACCCCCUCCAGAAAGCCCUCUCUAACUGGAUGGGUAAAUAUUCUCUGAGCAUCCUUGUCUCAUAGGUACAAUUUUACAUUUCCUGUCAUGAUUAUUUGAUCUGGAUCUGCCUCGCCCACCAGACCCUCAAAGGCAGGAAGCCCAUGCCUAACCAUGUGCCCUCAGUGUCUGGCACUCACUAUGUACUCAGUAAAUGCUUGGAAAUAAAUAGAGAGGCUCCCCUCUCACCCUCCAGCCACAA
Long non-coding RNA from Suricata suricatta (meerkat), 3163 nucleotides. RefSeq lists it as uncharacterized. The transcript is spliced from 2 exons. NCBI's taxonomy places the organism in Eukaryota, Metazoa, Chordata, Mammalia, Carnivora, Herpestidae. The record is from RefSeq and is a predicted model, not a curated record.